Molecule: long non-coding RNA, 475 nt
Filed under: Helianthus annuus (common sunflower)
Lineage: Eukaryota; Viridiplantae; Streptophyta; Magnoliopsida; Asterales; Asteraceae
Source: RNAcentral
CCCAGGAGCCAAUAUCCUUGUUCUUGAAACCCUAGUUCACCAAAUUCUACUCAAAAUCAAAGAAGGAAUCAAGUAGGAAAUCGUUUUCAAACUAAAUUCGUGAUCAUUACACUUAGUGGAUCACAAGGUAUGCUUAAUUUUAAUCUUUGGAUGAAUCCUUUGAUGAUGGUGGCAGUUUGGGAGGAUCGUCUAGUAACCAAGACGGAGCGGAUAGUCGGUAAAAGGGAAAGCUUUAAAGGUGACCAUAAUUACUAGACGGAUGACGAUCAAGCAAGAAAAUGAACCGAGUACACACUUAAUCAAAGCUUCCGCGACUAAACCAAGACUUUUGGCACGGCCACUUUAGAGUUGUGUUAUCAUACUUUUGUACAUAUGGUGACCAUAAUUACUAGACGGAUGACGAUUAAGCAAGAAAAUGAACCGAGUACACACUUAAUCAAAGCUUCCGCGACUAAACCAAGACUUUUGUCACGAC